Molecule: ribosomal RNA, 103 nt
Filed under: uncultured bacterium
Lineage: Bacteria
Description: partial 16S ribosomal RNA
Rfam family: Bacterial small subunit ribosomal RNA
Source: RNAcentral
UACACACCGCCCGUCACACCAUGGGAGUUGGUUUGGCCUUAAGCCGGUGCGCCAACCUAGCGAUAGGGGGCAGCCGUCCACGGCCGGGUCAGCGACUGGGGUG